This 776-nucleotide ribosomal RNA is filed under the name uncultured Neocallimastigales. RNAcentral describes it as "partial large subunit ribosomal RNA". It matches the Rfam family "Eukaryotic large subunit ribosomal RNA", at positions 24 to 635 of the family's 3401-position model. Lineage: Eukaryota; Fungi; Neocallimastigomycota; Neocallimastigomycetes; Neocallimastigales. The record is from RNAcentral.
AUGUGAUCGUCUCUCGCAUAUCAAUAAGCGGAGGAAAAGAAACUAACAAGGAUUCCCCUAGUAACGGCGAGUGAAGCGGGAAGAGCUCAGAUUUGAAAUCUUAAAGGGUUUCCCUUUACGAAUUGUAGUUUAAAGAAGUGUUUUCUGUUGAGAUUUUGGUAAAAGUUCUUUGGAAUAGGACAUCAUAGAGGGUGAGAAUCCCGUAUUUGACCUUUACUUUCAACUUUGUGAUACACUUUCAAAGAGUCGGAUUGUUUGGGAAUGCAGUCCAAAAUGGGUGGUAAAUUUCAUCUAAAGCUAAAUAUUGGCGAGAGGCCGAUAGCGAACAAGUACCGUGAGGGAAAGAUGAAAAGAACUUUGAAAAGAGAGUUAAACAGUACGUGAAAUUGUCAAAAGGGAAGCGUUUGACACCAGUGUUGUUUUUCUGAAAAUCAAUUAAAGAACUGUUUAUGCUAAGCUGUUUAGACUUUAUCAGCUAAUCUGCUUAGUUUUGAGCUUUUCUUUAAUGCACUUUUCAGUUAACAAGUCAACAUCAAUUUCUUUUGCUGUAAAAAAGCUUGAGGAAGGUGGACUUGAGAUUCGUCUUAAGUGUUUAUAGCCUCUUGCCUAUGCAGUCGGAGAGAUUGAGGUCCUGCAGCGUAGAUCCUUCGGGGCUAAAUGCAUUUGUGCUAAGUUAUAGCAUUUUAUAGACAACUUGUUGACUAUGAUUUGUCUUGUAGCUUACUCGCUUAUGUUAUUUUACCUACGCUUAGGAUGUUGAUCUACAGAGCGAGAGU